GCCCGGAUGGCGAAAUUGGUAGACGCAAGGGACUUAAAAUCCCUCGGAUUGCAAUCCGUGCCGGUUCGACCCCGGCUCCGGGCA
Molecule: transfer RNA, 84 nt
Filed under: Halopseudomonas pachastrellae
Lineage: Bacteria; Pseudomonadati; Pseudomonadota; Gammaproteobacteria; Pseudomonadales; Pseudomonadaceae
Description: Pseudomonas pachastrellae tRNA
Rfam family: tRNA
About the family: Transfer RNA (tRNA) molecules are approximately 80 nucleotides in length.
Source: Rfam by way of RNAcentral